AAUUUAUUUAUCAUAAACAAAAUCGUUUACCAUCUACUUAUCGUAGCGAGAUUUAUAAAAUAACUUAUAGAGAAUAUAACAUAACACAGAUCAUGAUUUCACAUGUAAUUGAUUGAUUGGAACAACAAUUUUAUCCUUUCUCAGCCUACUGGUAUCCAUGGGGGUUCAUAAGGAUGUCCCUACAAUGCCUGAACCCUUUCCUUUAACAUUUUCAAAUAACGGGCCGUCCCCAUAUCCCGUUUGAUAUGAGCGCCAAACUAGUAAACUAAACCUCAAUACCCCGUCUGGUAUGAGGGUGAAACGGGCCGUCCCCAUACCCCUCUCCGUAUGAGUGCCAAGUUACCAAGCCUUGAUACCCUGUUCGGUAUGAGGCAACAUUCAUGGUAGGAUUUCUUAUAUACCCGGUCCAUCCACAAUCUCCCAAGAUAUCCAGUAACGCUGCCGUUUCAUCCAUUCACUUAAUCACGCAAAUUUUCAUUUUUCUUUAAUCUCUUUUUUUUCCAAUUCAACCGUAAACACAUAAAACAAACAAUACAUGCAUUCAAAACUAUAAAAUCGAUCAAUUAGAUACUAUCAUGCAUUCAAACUAUAAAAUCCACCAACAGAAUCAACAGUGAAUAAUUUCUAAUUCU
Molecule: long non-coding RNA, 632 nt
Filed under: Carica papaya (papaya)
Lineage: Eukaryota; Viridiplantae; Streptophyta; Magnoliopsida; Brassicales; Caricaceae
Description: long non-coding RNA (CPAP_LNC006636)
Source: RNAcentral